Arachis ipaensis is the source of this 1521-nucleotide non-coding RNA. The record is from RefSeq and is a predicted model, not a curated record. Lineage: Eukaryota; Viridiplantae; Streptophyta; Magnoliopsida; Fabales; Fabaceae.
GCUAUCUCCUUCCCCAUUCAGCAACAAAACACGCUGAACAGCCUUGGGGGAGAGGAGAGCUCCCUAACCCUCACCACCACUUUAAUCCACCAUAACUCCUUCGUUCGAGCUCCGAUCGUCGUACCGUUUGCGGUCACGCAUUCAGCGCGUCAAGCUCUAUGUUUCUAUCGUAUCAAUUUCACGGGUUCGAUUUAGCUUGCGGAGCUUGUCGGGCUUGAGUUGUUUUGUUCGUGGGGAUGGAAUUGAAUUGUGGACAUUUGGAGGCUUGGUGGAGGAUUGGUGCUGAGGUUUUGGUUAUUUUUAAAACUUGUGAGGCUAUGUGUGUAGCUUGAGUUGCUGCCUUGGACCAAACGUGGUGAUCGACCAAGGUAUGGUUUAGGUUUUGCGCAUUUAAUAUAUAAUGUUCUGUAAAAACUUAGGCUAUAUGACCAUAGGAUAAGUUGGAAUGCAGGUGUGUAUUUAAUGUUUAGUAUCUUAAUGAUGGAUAUAUUUGAUUUGGUGCUUACUGGAUAAUUGGUGAUUUAAUGAAUUAUUGUGGUUUGUUGCUUGUUGGUUGGUUGGUUGAUGAUGAUUGAUGGAUUUUUGUUAAUGAAUUGAGGAUAUAAGCAAAUAAAUUUUAAAGUUGUGACUUAUAGUUUGAAUGAUGGAUUUUGAGGAAAUGUAUGAGCAUUAUUGUUGGUAUGAGACAUAAUUGUUAUGGUGGUUGAUAUGUUAAUGAAGAAGUGUUGGAAAGUGCAGGUUUGGUGAUUAUUGACAUAGGAUUUGUCAUGGUUGAAAAUGAGGUUUUAAGAGUUUGCAAAACGUUGGUUUUUGGCCGAACUUCGACGAGGCAUAACUUGGCUUCUGAACCCUCAAUUUGUUUUCAACUUAUUUUAAAUGAAAAUUGGGUUCGUAAAGUUUACGCCGUUCGAAGAACGGAAGAAAAAUGAUUUAAAACGAUUAAGUUAUGCACGUUAGAAGUUUUGGUGUGAAUUAUGUAUUAUGCAGGUGAAUACUACAGGUUUAUGCAGCUUUCUGGGUGAUCUGGUGUUUUUUUUAAGAACGUACGUCCACGCGUACGCGUGGCAUGGAAUUUUAAACUGUGCGUGCGCGAGUAGCCCCAUGCAUACGCGUAAUGAACCAGCCUGCAUGACCACGCGUACGCAUGGUAAGGGAAUGCGCGCGCGAGCUGCCUUUUUAUACUCCCACGCAUAUGCGUGUCCCCUGUUUCCUGCAAAAAUAGAUUUUUGUGUUUUAAACCAGAUUUUAGACUUUUAAACCACUAUUUUCAUCCUUUUAGUCAUAAAGUAUAAUACUAAGUCUAAUAGCUAGUUGAAGUUAGGAAAAUAAGGUAACUUGGGGAUGAAGAAAGGGGGUAAACAUGAUGAGUUAUAAGAAAAAGAUGUAGAUGUUAAAUGAAGUUAUGAUGCCAUGGUUACGAUGAAUGAUUAUAUAAUUAUUAUGAAUAUUAAAUGGCUUAUGAAUUAAUGAUAUCUGAGAUACGAGUUUUCCUGGGUAACAGAACCGUGGCUUGCCACCACG